This 450-nucleotide ribosomal RNA is filed under the name uncultured bacterium. RNAcentral's name for it is "partial 16S ribosomal RNA". It matches the Rfam family "Bacterial small subunit ribosomal RNA", at positions 354 to 796 of the family's 1533-position model. The record is from RNAcentral.
GUGGGGAAUAUUGGACAAUGGGCGAAAGCCUGAUCCAACCAUGCCGCGUGUGUGAAGAAGGUCUUCGGAUUGUAAAGCACUUUAAGUUGGGAGGAAGGGCAGUAAGUUAAUACCUUGCUGUUUUGACGUUACCGACAGAAUAAGCACCGGCUAACUUCGUGCCAGCAGCCGCGGUAAUACGAAGGGUGCAAGCGUUAAUCGGAAUUACUGGGCGUAAAGCGCGCGUAGGUGGUGUUGUAAGUUGGAGGUGAAAUCCCCGGGCUCAACCUGGGAACUGCCUCCAAAACUGCAUGACUAGAAUACGGUAGAGGGUAGUGGAAUUGCCUGUGUAGCGGUGAAAUGCGUAGAUAUAGGAAGGAACACCAGUGGCGAAGGCGACUACCUGGACUGAUACUGACACUGAGGUGCGAAAGCGUGGGGAGCAAACAGGAUUAGAAACCCUAGUAGUCC